UAAGGAAUAUUGCUCAAUGGGAGAAAUCCUGAAGCAGCAGCGCCGCGUGGAGGAUGAAGGGUCUAUGACUUGUAAACUCCUGUAAAGAAGGAAAAAAUUCCCAUUAGAUGGGAGAUGAUGGUACUUCUGGAGUAAGCCCCGGCUAACUACGUGCCAGCAGCCGCGGUAAUACGUAGGGGGCAAGCGUUGUCCGGAUUUACUGGGUGUAAAGGGUGCUCAGGCGGAUUUGUAAGUCAGAGGUGAAAUCUUACAGCUUAACUGUGAAACUGCCUUUGAUACUGCAAGCCUAGAGUAUGGAAGAGAGUGAUGGAAUAUCUGGUGUAGCAGUGAAAUGCGUAGAUAUCAGAUAGAACACCAAUGGCGAAGGCAGUCACUUGGUCCAUUACUGACGCUAAAGCACGAAAGCGUGGGUAGCAAACA
This 420-nucleotide ribosomal RNA is filed under the name uncultured bacterium. RNAcentral describes it as "bacterial SSU rRNA". It matches the Rfam family "Bacterial small subunit ribosomal RNA", at positions 355 to 774 of the family's 1533-position model. The record is from RNAcentral.